Symphalangus syndactylus (siamang) is the source of this 2463-nucleotide long non-coding RNA. RefSeq lists it as uncharacterized. NCBI's taxonomy places the organism in Eukaryota, Metazoa, Chordata, Mammalia, Primates, Hylobatidae. The record is from RefSeq and is a predicted model, not a curated record.
UCCCCCACUCUCUUCUGGCUUGUAGAGUUUCUGCCGAGAGAUUCGCUGUUAGUCUGAUGGGCUUCCCCUUGUGGGUAACCCGACCUUUGUCUCUGGCUGCCCUUAACAUUUUUUCCUUCAUUUCAACUUUGGUGAAUCUGACAAUUAUGUGUCUUGGAGUUGCUCUUCUCGAGGAGUAUCUUUGUGGCAUUCUCUGUAUUUCCUGAAUGUGAAUGUUGGCCUGCCUUGCUAGGUUGGGGAAGUUCUCCUGGAUAAUAUCUUGCAGAGUGUUUUCCAACUUGGUUCCAUUCUCCCCGUCACUUUCAGGUACACCAGUCAGACAUAGCUUUGGUCUUUUCACAUAGUCCCAUAUUUCUUGGAGGCUUUGUUUGUUUCCUUUUACUCUUUUUUCUCUAAACUUCUCUUCUCGCUUCAUUUCAUUCAUUUGAUCUUCAAUCACUGAUACCCUUUCUUCCAGUUGAUCGAAUCGGCUAGUGAAGCUUGUGCAUUCGUCAUGUAGUUCUCUUGCCAUGUUUUUCACCUCCAUCAGGUCAUUUAAGGACUUCUCUACACUGUUUAUUCUAGUUCGCCAUUCGUCUAAUCUUUUUUCAAUGUUUUUAGCUUCUUUGCAGUGGGUUUGAACUUCCUCCUUUAGCUCAGAGAAGUUUGAUCAUCUGAAGCCUUCUUCUCUCAACUAGUCAAAGUCAUUCUCCAUCCAGCUUUGUUCUGCUGCUGGCAAGGAGCUGCAUUCCUUUGGAGGGGGAGAGGCGCUCUGAUUUUUAGAAUUUUCAGCUUUUCUGCUCUGUUUUUUCCCCAUCUUUGUGGUUUUAUCUACCUUUGGUCUUUGAUGAUGGUGACGUACAGAUGGGGUUUUGAUGUGGAUGUCCUUUCUGUUUGUUAGUUUUCCUUCUAACAGUCAGGACCUUCAGCUGCAGGUCUGUUGGAGUUUGCUGGAGGUCCAUUCCAGACCCUGUUUGCCUGGGUAUCAGCAGCAGAGGCUGCAGAACAGCACAUAUUGCUCAACAGCAAAUGUUGCUGCCUGAUCAUUCCUCUGGAACCUUCAUCUCAGAGGGGCACCCGGCCAUAUGAGGUAUCAGUCUGCCCCUACUGGAGGGUGCAUCCCAGUUAGGUUACUCGGGGGUCAGGGACCCACUUGAGGGGGCAGUCUGUCCGUUCUCAGAUCUGAAACUCCUUGCUGGGAGAAUCACUACUCACUUCAAAGCUGUCAGACAGGGACAUUUAAGUCUGCAGAGGUUUCUGCUGCCUUUUGUUUGGCUAUGCCAUGCCCCUAGAAGUGGAGUCUACAGAGGCAGGCAGGCCUCCUUGAGCUGUGGUGGGCUCCACCCAGUUCGAGCUUCCUGGCUGCUUUGUUUACCUACUCAAGCCUCAGCAAUGGUGGACGCCCCUCCCCCAGCCUCACUGCUAUCUUGCAGAUGGAUCUCAGACUGCUGUGCUAGCAAUGAGUGAGGAUCCGUGGGGGUGGGACCGUCUGAGCCAGGUGUGGGAUAUAAUCUCCUGGUGUGACAUUUGCUAAGACCAUUGGAAAAGAUCAGUAUUUGGGUGAAGGUGACCCGAUUUUCCAGGUGCCAUCCGUCACCACUUCCCUUGGCUAGGAAAGGGAAUUUCCUGACCCCUUGCACUUCUCAGGUGAGGCGAUGCCUCACCCUGCUUCGGCUUAUGCUCAGUGGGCUGCACCCACUGUCCUGCCCCCACUGUCUGACAAGCCCCAGUGAGAUGAACCUGGUACCUCAGUUGGAAAUGCAGAGAUCACCUGUCUUCAGGGUCGCUCGUGCUGGGAGCUGUAGACUGGAGCUGUUCCUAUUCGGCUAUCUUGGAACCACAAACAUUUUAGUCUGGAUGCCCAAUUUCCGGUGACUUUGCAGAAUGUGUUGGCACUGAUUGCUCUGGACUGACCAUACCAGGAAACCACUCAUCUGCUUUCUGACUAUGGUGAUAGUCAGAACUCUGGAUAUCUUGGACCAAGAGAUAACCUAGUGCAUGGGAAGGAUGCGCUGAGGAUGCUGGAGCACUAAGAGAAAGAGCGAGCAUCCUUGAAGACUCUGUGGAGCUGUCAGACAAGCUCUGCAAGGCUGACUUCUGAACUUCUCUCACAGAAGCCAAUGAUAUUUAGGGUUUUUGUUAUAUAUAGCUAUACUUAAUCCUUACUGAUACAACUUCUCUAUCAGGUGCUCCUAUACCUGAUCAAUGAGCAAUCCUAUUGAUUGACUCUAAUAGGCCCAUUCUCUCUCAAUCCAGCUAAUGCCUUUCUGUUCAGUUCUAUAUUGUAAACCUAUGCCUAGAUUAUGGCACAGGUAUUCCUAAACUGGUGUCUUGCCUAUAGUCUUGCCAUCUCUGAUCUACCUUCUAUGAUGGGUGAUCUUUGUAAAAUGUAAAUUUAAUGAUUCCACUAAAUUUGAAAAUCUCUUCCUCAUUGUACCAUGACUUUAUUGCUAAUGCCUAUUUUUAAAACCUCCUUUCUAGGUA